RNAcentral lists this ribosomal RNA (390 nucleotides) under uncultured prokaryote. Its description in RNAcentral is "partial 16S ribosomal RNA". The record is from RNAcentral.
CCCUACGGGGUGCACCGGCACAAUGCGUGGGACACGCAGUAAACCAUCCGAUUAUGGAGCGACUAUCUACGGUGAAGGCAAAUUCUACCAGACAACGUACAAUAAAGAUGUACCGUUGUAUUACCCACUGAUGCAGCAGAUCAUGGCUUUCUUCCAGGGUGCGCCUGCACCAGUUUCCUGCGCGGAAACACUGGAACUGAUGCGCUUUAUCCAGGCAGCUUUGAUCAGCGAGCAGGAAAACGGCAGGAUUGUCAGGCUGGACGAAGUGAAAUAGACGUGGGGCUGACCAGGGUCGGCUUCAGAAUGAAAGUGAAAAUAAACUAUGGAAGAUGAAAUCGGAGAAGCCCUCCGGCAUAUUGAGGCACUUUCAAAAGGAAUUGGCGGGGGAGC